RNAcentral lists this ribosomal RNA (261 nucleotides) under uncultured archaeon. Its description in RNAcentral is "partial 16S ribosomal RNA". It matches the Rfam family "Archaeal small subunit ribosomal RNA", at positions 748 to 1008 of the family's 1478-position model. The record is from RNAcentral.
CAGCCGUAAACUAUGCGCGUUAGGUGUAUCGGUGACCACGAGUUACCGAGGUGCCGAAGGGAAACCGUGAAACGUGCCGCCUGGGAAGUACGGUCGCAAGGCUGAAACUUAAAGGAAUUGGCGGGGGAGCACCACAACAGGUGGAGCCUGCGAUUUAAUUGGACUCAACGCCGGGAAGCUCACCGGAUAGGACAGCAGAAUGAUUGCCGGGCUGAAGACUCUGCAUGACUAGCUGAGAGGAGGUGCAUGGCGUCAGUGACU